Molecule: transfer RNA, 72 nt
Filed under: Ovis aries (sheep)
Lineage: Eukaryota; Metazoa; Chordata; Mammalia; Artiodactyla; Bovidae
Rfam family: tRNA
About the family: Transfer RNA (tRNA) molecules are approximately 80 nucleotides in length.
Source: Rfam by way of RNAcentral
UCCCUUGUGUCUCAGCUGGUAAAGAAUCUUCCUGCAAUGUGGGAGACCUGGGUUCGAUCCCCAGUUUGGGAA